GGCCGGGGCGCAUCGCGCUGCCCGCUGCAGAGCGCUGUCACGCCCACAUUUAACAGCCCCACAAGGACUUUGCGGGCCUCGGUGGCGACGUGUUUUCCUACUGAAGGCUGAGUUAAUAUUUAAUAGUUAGAGGCCGUGUCCGGGCGUCUUGUGCAAGCGGCAGGUUGCUUCCAAGAAUCUAGACGGCUUUCUGGCCAGUUCAGCUUUAAAGUGUGUGUUUGUCUUGAUUAAUUCUGUUAUGUGCUAAGCGGGCGUUUGCCUUCUCGGCCUGAAGUUUAUGCUUUCUUGCUUUACAGUAUGAAAACCCCUGGACGAUCCCAAAUAUACUGUCAAUGGCAAGAAUGGGUUUGGCGCCAGUUUUAGGCUAUUUGAUUGUUGAAGAAAAUUUCAAUGUUGCACUAGGUGUCUUUGUUUUGGCUGGCGUAACGGAUUUGCUGGAUGGAUUUAUUGCACGAAACUGGGCUAAUCAGAAAUCAGCUUUGGGAAGUGCUCUUGAUCCUCUUGCUGAUAAAAUUCUCAUCAGUGUGCUCUAUGUGAGCCUAACUUGUGCAAAUCUUAUCCCAGUUUCACUUACUUCCAUGAUUAUUCUGAGGGAUGUAGCGCUCAUUGCUGCAGUUUUUUAUGUGCGAUAUAAAACUCUUUCUCCACCGAGAACACUCAGUAGGUAUUUUAACCCCUGUUAUGCUACUGCACAAUUAAAACCAACAUUCAUUAGCAAGAUGAACACAGCGGUUCAGCUAGUAUUGGUGGCAGCUUCUUUAGCAGCUCCUGUUUUCGAUUAUGUGGACAGCAUAUAUCUGCAGACAUUAUGGUUUCUGAAGCCACUUUGAAAAGCACCUGAAGAGAUCGAUGAUUCCUGCUAGACUAUAGGAAGGAAGGGGAGGGAUCAAAUGAAAACAGGCAUACAGGAGCGUACCUCCUUAUGUAAUGGCUGUUCCUUUCACUGCUAUCACUGCAGAUCUGAACUGUAUCUGAAUCUGAAUUGUAGCUGACAGCAGGUGAACAAGUGCAGUUACUUCUCCCGAGCAGUUAGGUGUAUCACGGCUUUCACAACGGUAACAUCUGCGUACAGCUAUUACCACUACGGCCGAAAAACGGUUCAGGUGAUAAAUAACAAAUGAAGUAUUCCUGAAAGGACCAGGUCUUUGCAGCAUGGUGUGCCGUACUGCCGAAGAGUGUUUUAUUGCAGCUGAGUUUUGGAUCAAGAACUCUUGUUUUUCUGCUUAAACCAUGGCAUUGCAAUGAAGCGAAGUUUCAACAUGUACUGUGUAUAUAUAGAGACUUUUCAAUGUAUUUUUAAUUUGUUUAAAAAUAAGGUUGUUUACAACAACAAAUAAAUAAUAUUCUUAAAGAGACAGGUUACUGGUUGCUGCCAUGUGCAUUCUGAAUAAUUUUAUACUGGUUUUAAGUCAAAAUAUGCACUUCACUAGCUUUUCACCAUCUUCAUGCAAGGCACUGAGUAGGCUGAGAGUGAGAACAAAAAGUGAUUAUAAGAACAAAUUUGUCUUUGUACCUCAACCUAAGUCAGUAAACCCACAUUGCUCAUCAGAACUUAAUGACAUACAUCAGUUUGCAGCAGAAGAAAGCAGGAACAGUAUCUUCAGAAAUUCAAACCAGAAUGAUAGAAAUUUUACUUUGUAUUCCAUAGUGAUACAGAUAAGCCAUGAAGAGUUACUACCUUGCACCCUUUCCUU
This is an RNA transcript of Athene cunicularia (burrowing owl), 1694 nucleotides long. It is a transcript of the gene named cardiolipin synthase 1, with no coding region annotated. The transcript has 7 exons. The record is from RefSeq and is a predicted model, not a curated record. Lineage: Eukaryota; Metazoa; Chordata; Aves; Strigiformes; Strigidae.